RNAcentral lists this ribosomal RNA (497 nucleotides) under uncultured bacterium. RNAcentral's name for it is "partial 16S ribosomal RNA". It matches the Rfam family "Bacterial small subunit ribosomal RNA", at positions 28 to 507 of the family's 1533-position model. The record is from RNAcentral.
GAUGAACGCUGGCGGCGUGCCUAAUACAUGCAAGUCGAGCGAACAGACGAGGAGCUUGCGCCUCUGAUGUUAGCGGCGGACGGGUGAGUAACACGUGGAUAACCUACCUAUAAGACUGGGAUAACUUCGGGAAACCGGAGCUAAUACCGGAUAACAUGUUGAACCGCAUGGUUCAACAGUGAAAGACGGUCUUGCUGUCACUUAUAGAUGGAUCCGCGCCGCAUUAGCUAGUUGGCAAGGUAACGGCAUACCAAGGCAACGAUGCGUAACCGACCUGAGAGCGUGAUCGGCCACACUGGAUGUGAGACACGGCCCAGACACCGAGGGGAGGCAGCAGUCGGGAAUCUUCCGCAAUGGGCGAGAGCCUGACAGAGCAACGCCGCGUGAGUGAAGAAGGUCUUCUGAUCGUAAAACUCUGUUAUUAGGGAAGAACAAAUGUUUAAGUAACUAUGCACGUAUUGACGGUACCUAAUCAGAAAGCCACGGCUAACUACGUG